Long non-coding RNA from Odocoileus virginianus texanus, 1146 nucleotides. RefSeq lists it as uncharacterized. The record is from RefSeq and is a predicted model, not a curated record. NCBI's taxonomy places the organism in Eukaryota, Metazoa, Chordata, Mammalia, Artiodactyla, Cervidae.
AGAUGGGACCAAGGAGGCCGGAGAAUGAGAACUGAGAUUGCUUCAAUCAAUGAGGACAAAAUUACAGGUUCUUCUCCCUCUAUGUCAGCAAUGAUCUCAAACAAGUAAAUGUCUAAUGAAAUAUUUAAUGCUGAAUUUCCAUUUCUUAAGAAACUUGGUGAUGAAAAUGUCAGUUGCACAAAAUUUUGGUUUACGUUUAUCAUCUACCUGACAUCGCCAGAAGACACAAAUACUCUGAAGCUGCAUGAGCAUCUAUUUCAAAAAGGACUACUUUAUCUGCAAACAUGUAGGUCUGGUUGCAUGUUAAUAAACCACCAGAAAAGAUACACAUUUUCAAGAGCUAUCAGAGGGUCUUCAAGGAGAUUCUCCCCAUUUUGAAUAAAGUUGAGCUAAUUGGCUAUCUUCUCCGACAUAUUAUGGAAUCAGGGGAAACAGCUUGUCAAUAGCAGAGCUCUGAGCCCUUUGGAAAACAACCGUCUUCUUAAAGCUAUGGAUCUCAUCUACAAGGAAAUCUCCUGUGGAAUGAGAGUGGGGUGCAGUGGAAGAGGCGGAAGGAGCCCACACAUUUGACAGCCUUCGUGAGAUUCAACUGCCCACAUUCACUACAUGUUUGCUGAGUUCCGGGCAUUAUGGAUGGAACAUUGAGCAAAGUUCGUGUCCGCAUGAAGACAUUCUGGUAAUCAAGGAAUUUCACCACUAGUUUUGAAUCCUCAGAGCUGCCUUGUGAAAUGGAUGAGGCACCCCUCAGAUGUGUGACACUAUUGCCUUACAGCUGAGAACACACACCAGUGACGUGAAUGUCCAAUGGCAGAACUGAUAGACUUCCAAGCCAGUGAACGAAGAAGCUGAAGAAGCUUGGAGUAUUCAGCCUUGAGACAAUGAACUACAAGAGCAACUGCUAUAAACUCUAGGUCCAUCUAAGACUAUUCCUUGAAGAAGGGAAACCCCUUUGCAUUAGACCAGAAGGGAACAAAGGAUGUGGGUUUAGAGACAGGAGGAGCUUGUUGGUAGCAGCCUUCUCCGAGGACUGUUGCACCUAAAAGGAAGUGGUGGAAGCUCCUGUCCUGGAGAAAACCUAGAUUCACAGCAACGCUGUAGACAGGACAUUUGACGGGGUCCGUGCUCAGGCGUUGGCACGUACAAACA